RNAcentral lists this ribosomal RNA (440 nucleotides) under uncultured bacterium. RNAcentral's name for it is "bacterial SSU rRNA". It matches the Rfam family "Bacterial small subunit ribosomal RNA", at positions 355 to 787 of the family's 1533-position model. The record is from RNAcentral.
UGGGGAAUUUUGGACAAUGGGCGAAAGCCUGAUCCAGCAAUGCCGCGUGCAGGAUGAAGGCCUUCGGGUUGUAAACUGCUUUUGUACGGAACGAAAAAGCUCCUUCUAAUACAGGGGGCCCAUGACGGUACCGUAAGAAUAAGCACCGGCUAACUACGUGCCAGCAGCCGCGGUAAUACGUAGGGUGCGAGCGUUAAUCGGAAUUACUGGGCGUAAAGCGUGCGCAGGCGGUUAUGUAAGACAGAUGUGAAAUCCCCGGGCUCAACCUGGGAACUGCAUUUGUGACUGCAUGGCUAGAGUACGGUAGAGGGGGAUGGAAUUCCGCGUGUAGCAGUGAAAUGCGUAGAUAUGCGGAGGAACACCGAUGGCGAAGGCAAUCCCCUGGACCUGUACUGACGCUCAUGCACGAAAGCGUGGGGAGCAAACAGGAUUAGAUACCC